Molecule: unclassified non-coding RNA, 243 nt
Filed under: Rhizophagus sp. (in: glomeromycetes)
Lineage: Eukaryota; Fungi; Glomeromycota; Glomeromycetes; Glomerales; Glomeraceae
Description: partial contains 5.8S ribosomal RNA and internal transcribed spacer 2
Rfam family: 5.8S ribosomal RNA (bases 1-71)
Source: RNAcentral
GUGAAUCAUCGAAUUUUUGAACGCAAAUUGCGCUUCCUAGCAUCCCGGGAAGUAUGCCUGUUUGAGGGUCAGUAUUAACAAAAAAAUCGGUUUGGUUGCAAAUUGUGACGUUUCCGGAGUUUGGGCUAUCUUAACUUUUUUGGUUAAGGGGCUUAAAAUUGACCUUUUUGCGCAUUUUUAACGGAACUUAAUUUUUUUUUUUUUUGGUUUUUUUUUAUUCCAAAAUUUUUUUUGAUGCCAUCA